UGGCUCAGUUCAGCAGGAACAGGU
Molecule: non-coding RNA, 24 nt
Filed under: Xenopus laevis (African clawed frog)
Lineage: Eukaryota; Metazoa; Chordata; Amphibia; Anura; Pipidae
Also listed under: 3 other names
Source: RNAcentral